This 2904-nucleotide ribosomal RNA is filed under the name Escherichia coli. RNAcentral describes it as "23S ribosomal RNA". It matches the Rfam family "Bacterial large subunit ribosomal RNA". Lineage: Bacteria; Pseudomonadati; Pseudomonadota; Gammaproteobacteria; Enterobacterales; Enterobacteriaceae. The record is from RNAcentral.
GGUUAAGCGACUAAGCGUACACGGUGGAUGCCCUGGCAGUCAGAGGCGAUGAAGGACGUGCUAAUCUGCGAUAAGCGUCGGUGAGGUGAUAUGAACCGUUAUAACCGGCGAUUUCCGAAUGGGGAAACCCAGUGUGUUUCGACACACUAUCAUUAACUGAAUCCAUAGGUUAAUGAGGCGAACCGGGGGAACUGAAACAUCUAAGUACCCCGAGGAAAAGAAAUCAACCGAGAUUCCCCCAGUAGCGGCGAGCGAACGGGGAGGAGCCCAGAGCCUGAAUCAGUGUGUGUGUUAGUGGAAGCGUCUGGAAAGGCGCGCGAUACAGGGUGACAGCCCCGUACACAAAAAUGCACAUAUUGUGAGCUCGAUGAGUAGGGCGGGACACGUGGUAUCCUGUCUGAAUAUGGGGGGACCAUCCUCCAAGGCUAAAUACUCCUGACUGACCGAUAGUGAACCAGUACCGUGAGGGAAAGGCGAAAAGAACCCCGGCGAGGGGAGUGAAAAAGAACCUGAAACCGUGUACGUACAAGCAGUGGGAGCCUCUUAAUGGGGUGACUGCGUACCUUUUGUAUAAUGGGUCAGCGACUUAUAUUCUGUAGCAAGGUUAACCGAAUAGGGGAGCCGAAGGGAAACCGAGUCUUAACUGGGCGUUAAGUUGCAGGGUAUAGACCCGAAACCCGGUGAUCUAGCCAUGGGCAGGUUGAAGGUUGGGUAACACUAACUGGAGGACCGAACCGACUAAUGUUGAAAAAUUAGCGGAUGACUUGUGGCUGGGGGUGAAAGGCCAAUCAAACCGGGAGAUAGCUGGUUCUCCCCGAAAGCUAUUUAGGUAGCGCCUCGUGAAUUCAUCUCCGGGGGUAGAGCACUGUUUCGGCAAGGGGGUCAUCCCGACUUACCAACCCGAUGCAAACUGCGAAUACCGGAGAAUGUUAUCACGGGAGACACACGGCGGGUGCUAACGUCCGUCGUGAAGAGGGAAACAACCCAGACCGCCAGCUAAGGUCCCAAAGUCAUGGUUAAGUGGGAAACGAUGUGGGAAGGCCCAGACAGCCAGGAUGUUGGCUUAGAAGCAGCCAUCAUUUAAAGAAAGCGUAAUAGCUCACUGGUCGAGUCGGCCUGCGCGGAAGAUGUAACGGGGCUAAACCAUGCACCGAAGCUGCGGCAGCGACACUAUGUGUUGUUGGGUAGGGGAGCGUUCUGUAAGCCUGUGAAGGUGGCCUGUGAGGGUUGCUGGAGGUAUCAGAAGUGCGAAUGCUGACAUAAGUAACGAUAAAGCGGGUGAAAAGCCCGCUCGCCGGAAGACCAAGGGUUCCUGUCCAACGUUAAUCGGGGCAGGGUGAGUCGACCCCUAAGGCGAGGCCGAAAGGCGUAGUCGAUGGGAAACAGGUUAAUAUUCCUGUACUUGGUGUUACUGCGAAGGGGGGACGGAGAAGGCUAUGUUGGCCGGGCGACGGUUGUCCCGGUUUAAGCGUGUAGGCUGGUUUUCCAGGCAAAUCCGGAAAACCAAGGCUGAGGCGUGAUGACGAAGCACUACGGUGCUGAAGCGACAAAUGCCCUGCUUCCAGGAAAAGCCUCUAAGCAUCAGGUAACAUCAAAUCGUACCCCAAACCGACACAGGUGGUCAGGUAGAGAAUACCAAGGCGCUUGAGAGAACUCGGGUGAAGGAACUAGGCAAAAUGGUGCCGUAACUUCGGGAGAAGGCACGCUGAUAUGUAGGUGAAGCGACUUGCUCGUGGAGCUGAAAUCAGUCGAAGAUACCAGCUGGCUGCAACUGUUUAUUAAAAACACAGCACUGUGCAAACACGAAAGUGGACGUAUACGGUGUGACGCCUGCCCGGUGCCGGAAGGUUAAUUGAUGGGGUUAGCGGCAACGCGAAGCUCUUGAUCGAAGCCCCGGUAAACGGCGGCCGUAACUAUAACGGUCCUAAGGUAGCGAAAUUCCUUGUCGGGUAAGUUCCGACCUGCACGAAUGGCGUAAUGAUGGCCAGGCUGUCUCCACCCGAGACUCAGUGAAAUUGAACUCGCUGUGAAGAUGCAGUGUACCCGCGGCAAGACGGAAAGACCCCGUGAACCUUUACUAUAGCUUGACACUGAACAUUGAGCCUUGAUGUGUAGGAUAGGUGGGAGGCUUUGAAGUGUGGACGCCAGUCUGCAUGGAGCCGACCUUGAAAUACCACCCUUUAAUGUUUGAUGUUCUAACGUUGGCCCGUAAUCCGGGUUGCGGACAGUGUCUGGUGGGUAGUUUGACUGGGGCGGUCUCCUCCUAAAGAGUAACGGAGGAGCACGAAGGUUGGCUAAUCCUGGUCGGACAUCAGGAGGUUAGUGCAAUGGCAUAAGCCAGCUUGACUGCGAGCGUGACGGCGCGAGCAGGUGCGAAAGCAGGUCAUAGUGAUCCGGUGGUUCUGAAUGGAAGGGCCAUCGCUCAACGGAUAAAAGGUACUCCGGGGAUAACAGGCUGAUACCGCCCAAGAGUUCAUAUCGACGGCGGUGUUUGGCACCUCGAUGUCGGCUCAUCACAUCCUGGGGCUGAAGUAGGUCCCAAGGGUAUGGCUGUUCGCCAUUUAAAGUGGUACGCGAGCUGGGUUUAGAACGUCGUGAGACAGUUCGGUCCCUAUCUGCCGUGGGCGCUGGAGAACUGAGGGGGGCUGCUCCUAGUACGAGAGGACCGGAGUGGACGCAUCACUGGUGUUCGGGUUGUCAUGCCAAUGGCACUGCCCGGUAGCUAAAUGCGGAAGAGAUAAGUGCUGAAAGCAUCUAAGCACGAAACUUGCCCCGAGAUGAGUUCUCCCUGAGACUUAGAGUCUCCUGAAGGAACGUUGAAGACGACGACGUUGAUAGGCCGGGUGUGUAAGCGCAGCGAUGCGUUGAGCUAACCGGUACUAAUGAACCGUGAGGCUUAACCUU